This 430-nucleotide ribosomal RNA is filed under the name uncultured bacterium. Its description in RNAcentral is "bacterial SSU rRNA". It matches the Rfam family "Bacterial small subunit ribosomal RNA", at positions 34 to 507 of the family's 1533-position model. The record is from RNAcentral.
CGCUGGCGGUGUGCUUCACACAUGCAAGUCGAACGAGGUAGCAAUACCUAGUGGCGGACGGGUGAGUAACGCGUGGGAAUCUGCCUUUAGAUGGGGGAUAACGGGUCGAAAGACUCGCUAAUACCGCAUAUGACGAAAGUUGAAAGGAGUAAUCCGUCUAAAGAUGAGCCCGCGUCCGAUUAGCUAGUUGGUAGAGUAAAAGCCUACCAAGGCGACGAUCGGUAGCUGGUCUGAGAGGAUGAUCAGCCACAAUGGGACUGAGACACGGCCCUUACUCCUACGGGAGGCAGCAGUGGGAAUUUUACGCAAUGGGCGAAAGCCUGACGUAGCGACACCGCGUGAGCGAAGAAGCCCCUUGGGGUGUAAAGCUCUGUCAGCUGGAACGAAAAAAAUGACGGUACCAGCAGAGGAAGCAUCGGCUAACUACGUG